RNAcentral lists this ribosomal RNA (460 nucleotides) under uncultured bacterium. RNAcentral describes it as "partial 16S ribosomal RNA". It matches the Rfam family "Bacterial small subunit ribosomal RNA", at positions 338 to 795 of the family's 1533-position model. The record is from RNAcentral.
CCUACGGGAGGCAGCAGUGAGGAAUAUUGGUCAAUGGGCGUAAGCCUGAACCAGCCAAGUCGCGUGCGGGAUGAAGGUUCUAUGGAUCGUAAACCUCUUUUGUAAGGGAAUAAAGGGUGGGACGUGUCCUGUUUUGCAUGUACCUUAUGAAUAAGGAUCGGCUAACUCCGUGCCAGCAGCCGCGGUAAUACGGAGGAUCCGAGCGUUCUCCGGCUUUAUUGGGUUUAACGGGUGCGUAGGCGGCCUUUUAAGUCAGCGGUGAAAGUUUCUGGCUCAACCCUAGAAUUGCCGUUGACACUGGGAGGCUGGAGUAUGUUUGAGGUAGGCGGAAGGCGUGGUGUAGCGGUGAAAUGCUUAGAGAUCACGCAGAACCCCGAUUGCGAAGGCAGCCUGCCAAGCCAUGACUGACGCUGAUGCACGAAAGCGUGGGGAUCAAACAGGAUUAGAUACCCGAGUAGUC